This 384-nucleotide ribosomal RNA is filed under the name uncultured eukaryote. RNAcentral describes it as "SSU rRNA". It matches the Rfam family "Eukaryotic small subunit ribosomal RNA", at positions 592 to 976 of the family's 1831-position model. The record is from RNAcentral.
CAAUAGCGUAUAUUAAAGUUGUUGCAGUUAAAAGCUCGUAGUUGAACUUCGGAACCGGUCGAUUGGUCCGUCCUCUGGAUUGUGUACUGAUCGAUCUGUUCUUCUUCGCGAAGACCGCGUGUGCCCUUAACUGGGUGUGCACGGGAUUCACGACGUUUACUUUGAAAAAUUAGAGUGUUCAAAGCAGGCAUUCGCUUGAAUAUCUCAGCAUGGAAUAAUAGAAUAGGACUUUGGUCUUAUUUUGUUGGUUUCCGAGACCGAAGUAAUGAUUAAUAGGGACAGUUGGGGGCGAUUCGUAUUUCUAUUGUCAGAGGUGGAAAUUACUUGGAGUUAUUGAAAGACGAACUUCUGCGAAGACAUUUGUCCAAGGAUGUUUUCUAUUAA